Molecule: long non-coding RNA, 6905 nt
Organism: Thunnus maccoyii (southern bluefin tuna)
Lineage: Eukaryota; Metazoa; Chordata; Actinopteri; Scombriformes; Scombridae
Exons: 2
Source: RefSeq, a predicted model, not a curated record
UCUGCCUUUUAUGUUUUAUGUAAAGCACUUAGAAUUGCCUUGUUGAAAUGUGCUAUACAAAUAAACUUGGCUUGCCUAAUGAAGCAAUGCCUGUUUACGAUACUAAUUUAGGAUACUACGUCAGAGGUGUUAAUUUAACUCUAUGGCAAUUUUACAACAUGAGGAUUUUUGAGUCAUCAGUGUUGUAUUGGAUUGCAAUAUAUUGUACAGUUCUGCCCGAUUAACUGUGGUUAAUCAACUACUACAACUAAUCUGGUUAAGUCAACUAUAACCUGUAUUACACAAAUAUUUUAUUCCUACUAGUGUUCAUUUUGGCACCUGAUUUAGAUUUCGUUUUAGUCUUCUGAUAAAAAAGUUUACUAGUUAUUAGUUUUAGUUAAAACACUCAAAACAUUUUAAGCCCCAUUCAGACAGGACUUAUUUCUCCAGGGGAGGUGGGUUGAUUUCAAUGUUAUCUGCGUUUACUGUUACUGAGUUUCAUCAGCUCCGCACGCAGCGUGACAAGGAAGUAGAAAGGAAUUUUGCCAACUUGACAGGUCACUUAUCAACAUCAGUCAAUGAAAAGGUAAAAUAUAAAUCUUACAAGAUCAAGACCCUGCAAGUUCAUCAAAAGGGGCUGUUGUAACAUCAUGUUACAAGUGAUUCUGUCUUUGCUGCUCUAACUUUGUAAAGCCAAACUAAUUAGAGAUUCAACAGUGUUGAUGAGAGAUAUGAAUCAUGGUAAGUCACUGAAUCCAAAGCUACUGCUGGCUGAUAAGUUGGAACUUGACCCAAAAUCAAUUGAUAUUGAAUAUGGGCAUUGCAAUGGAAAGAUGAGCAGUCCAACAGGCCAUGGACAAUUGUCAUGAAGUUACUCAGAUUUCAGGACAAAGAGGAAAUCCUUAAGAGAGAAAAAAAAAACACUUAAGGGCACUAAAGGUUAAUUUAUCAUCACUCAACACUUCUGAUAAGUGUUGCUCGACAGAAAUGACGUAUUUUUGACAGAAUGACUAAUGUUGCCAUGGAGAUUGUCAAUUUAGCUAACUGUAAACAUAUAAACAUGGAGUGUCUGGUAUACUCUCUACUGAUAUAUCAGACCACCUUCCUAUUUAUAUUCUUGCUUACCAUCCUACUGAGAUUAAGCAAGUUGUUACAAAUACUUUCCUAAGAUAUUUCAAGAUGUCUAAUGUGAAAAGUUUUGUUGAUAAACUCUAUGGUAUUAAAUGGGAUACAAUUAUAGUAACAAAUGAUGCAUCUAAUGUGUGUAAUCUUUUUGAUGAUGAGUUCUUUGGUACUUUCAAUGAAACCUUUUCCAUGUGAAAAUUGAGCCAUCAAACCUAAAGCUUGUAAAUCUUGGUUGACUAAAGAGUAAAAAAAAUGUAUCUCUAGGAAACACAAACUAUAUAAAGACUAUCUAACCAAUCCCUCUUCCUUAAAUUAAGUUUAUUCAUUAAUGAAAUUGUAAAUAAGCCUUCUUCUGAAAAAUUGCCCCAUAGUAAGUUUAAUAUUAAUAAUACCAUCAUAGAAGAUCCCACUGAGAUUGCCAGUGAAUUCAAUAACUCUUGUCAAUAUAGGUCCUGCUUUGGCUGCAAAAAAUACCAUCAUACCCACUUGUUCUUCUAAUAUAGAGUCUGUUUCCCAUCUACCUUCAUUUACUUUUUCUUCUGCAAGUGAGCAAGAAAUAUGUAAUAUUGUAUCAAGUUUGAAAUGAACAGGUGCAGGUCAUGAUGAUCUCAAAAUGAAGUUAGUAAAACAGUGCCUCCCUGCUAUUCUACAACCACUGUGUCACAUCUUCAAUCGUUCCCUUCAAACAGGUAUUGUACCAGAUCAACUGAAAUGGGCCAAGGUUAUCCCAUUAUUUAAAGCUGAAAAUCCAUCAUUAUUAUCAAAUUAUAGACCAGCUCUUCAUUUCCACAUUUCUCCAAAAUACUUGAAAAAAAUGUGUACAAUAGAUCGGUCAAAUACUUAAAGGAUAAUAAGUUACUAUAUGACUAUUAAAUUGGAUUUUGUGACAAGCAUUCUACCUCUAUGGGCUUGGUGCAAGUAGCGGGCAGAAUAGCUACAUUACAAAGAAUUUACAAGUGGAAUAUUUAUUGUCAAAAGCUUUUGACACUGUAGAUGAUAAUAUAUUAAAUAAGCUACAAGCUCAUGGUGUUAUUGUUACUGAACUUAAUUGGUUUGAAAGCUACCUCCUUAACAGGAUCUUCGUCCCAUUCUCAUAGCUAAUAAUGCACAUGAAUAUGUUUCACAUGUUAAGUUCUUAGGUGUAAUCAUCGAUCAUCAAUUUUAAUUGGAAAAAGCACAUCUCUUAUGUGUCCAAUAAAGUUGCAGAAAAUUUUGGUGUGAUUUAUCCUUUCAUUUCUUAUGGCAAUAUAGUAUAGGCAAGCACAUAACAAUUCACUUCCCAUUUCUUUUUACAGUUUCUUUGUAACUAGGUCUCACUGUUAUCACACCAGAUCUGUUGAUCUUCUAUAUAGUCAGUUCUACAGAACUAGCCUUGGCCAUUUUUCAAUCAGGUACAGAGCUCCAGUCAUAUGGAACAGCUUUUCUGCUUCACUUCGCAGUCUCUCCUUAUGUCAGAUUUUUAAAAAAGAUCUUACACAGCUUCUCUUGAAGGAGUACAGUACUAUAUAAUUAAGGUAUGAUAACAAUGUAGGAAGGCAGUGCAAAUAUAUGUUAUUGCAAUGCUUGUAUUUAUUUCUUUUUUCUUUGUAUUAUCUUCUUUAAGAUAUUUUAAAAAUAUAUGUUCUAUAAUAUAAAAAAAAUAAAUAAAUAUCUGUUUGUAAAUUUGUGGCAAGCAUAUAUAACUGUCAAUUUCAAUGUUAGGUGGGUUCUUUUUACAAGCUCUCAGGGUUUUUUUCAUCCCACCUGUGCAUCUUUUGUUAUUGUUUAAUUCUUCUCUUUUGUUUCAUUUUAUUACAUGCACAAAAUAAAGAACUAAAGAAUGUUGCAGUCCCUUUCUCACUGUAAAAGCAUAGCCUAAUCGACUUCCAAAAAGAAAGCCUGCUGGUAAUGAAGGUCACAUGGUUUUCCCACAGUAUAUCACAGUCUAUUACAGAGUCAGCUUUUGUAAUUUGCCAAAUUGCUAAAAUGCUGUCUGGAAUGAUGAGAGAAGGGUUGAAAUAUUUCAUUACCCAGCUCCUUCUAUUAUAUUGAUUCAAUAGGAAGGGGGCUUUAGUCUUGUUUCUGUCAGUAAAAUUUCAUCAUGCAUUUUAAUUUUUUUUUGUAUUCUAAGCAUUCUGUGGGUACAGUCAUUGUUAAUUUGUACAGUUUCCAUGGUUAAAGGCGUUAUUUUAUCAUUUAAUGCAAUGAUUUUCCUUUAGUGAACAUCUAGAAGGUGAUUUAGAUACUGUUUUACCAAUCAAGAGAGUAGUGUGUGAUUCCGCAAACGCAGAAUAAGACACUGCAAGUUGUCGUUGACAAAAUUAACACUGAUUUCUACGUCUCCACUGAAGAGGCUCAGUAAUAUUUAGCAAACCAUGAGUGAAAAAUGAACCACAGUCAUGUAUUCAUAUGGUGAUAUGGAGUAUUCCAUUUUACUAAUGAUUUAGGUUAGUAACUUAAUACAAUAUUUGUCCCUGAAUGAACAUAAUGUCAUCUCUGACUGAGAUGGUUGCACACAAGUUAAGGAAGAGUUUAGGAAAAAAAUCAUUAUAGAAAUAAGUGUUGUUAAUACCAAGUCUGUAAAAUUUGAAUAAGGCAUGGAGGUGUGCAAGUCAUGUGUCAUCCUGCAUUUAUAUCUGUGGGCAAGAGUUUUUGUGAGAAAAGUGAUGUUUGUGUAAACUCGUGUGGGAACCUGUGGCAUAUUUUCAGUGUAUAUUAUAGAAAAGUGUGGAGCGUUGGAAGGAUUGUGAGAGAAAAAAGUGUAAGAGAGGGAGAACAGGGGCUAUUUGAUGAUCAGAGCAGUGUAAUUACCUCCCAGUGAGGUUCAGCCUUUUAGACGGAUGAUUAUUCAAGGGGAGAAAUCUCAUUUGCAUCUUGUACAGUAAUAUGUAAAAGUGUUCACUCUACACAAAAUUAAAUUGCCACAUUGAUUUUUUUCUCCUCACUAAAAGUACAUUUCUGUCCUUUUUCAGCAGAAUUAUGGUUUUACAUGUAGAUGAAUACAUCUGCUAGCAUAAAAGAGAAGAUAGUCUCUCUAUGUCCUGCAGUGCUUGUAUCCAUUUGUGUCUCUUGGGUUCAGCUCACAGAUCAUUAACAAGGCGGUAGACAUUAUUCUCUGCACUGUAUAGGGGGCUGAGAAAAGAGAAGCCAUGAAGUGAACCCAUGUCGCACUUCACUAUAGCUCCCUAAUACAAGGCAGGGGGUCACUGGGAAUGAAUAUUUGCUUGACAUAAUUAUCCAACAUGUGCAACGCUUGAAUCUACAUGUCCGCCUCUCCUUAGUCUCUUUUUCUGUAAUACUAAAUUUUACAGAGUCCAAACCAACCACCCACCCACACACACAUAUACACACACCUAUACACACACACACCUCCCCUUGGCAAAGCACACCGCUGGCUAUCAGUUUCUUCAAAGUAUGAAAUCAAGGACCCUGCUUUCAUUCACAGCACCUCCAAUUACAGUGGGAGUGAAAUAGCACAGAGUGAGCGUAAUGACAGCAAUCUAAGCUGUGUGGGGGAGAGGAGAAGAACACCUGACUGAGCCCCUGUCACAUUUGCUGCUGUACCACCCAGGGACAAAUAGAGAGAUAGAGGAAACCGUGGAAGAAAAGAAGAAGAGUUAGAUAGAAAGAUAUAAGAAGAUAACAAUAUAUUGGAUUGCCAAGAAUAGUAAAAGAGUGAGUAAAUGAAGGUGGAGAAUAGAAGUGUGAUGAGAUUUAAAAAAAAAAAGGAAAAUAAAGAAAGAGACGAUGAUUGACAGAGAGCCAUCUGUUGAUCUUCAUGCUUAUUUGUGUUGCUGUGAGCCUUUCCCCUCCCAACUGGUCCCUCAUGUGGCUGACUGGGGGUCAGCUGUGACUGAUAGUCCGUGCUCCUGUUUUCGGCUGACAGAUGGGCGCAAGGACCGACUCUGGUGCAGCCUGAAAACGGAUUCUCCAUGCCUCUGCGUGCUGCCACAGCCAUUUUACCCAGCUGUCAGUCACAGACAGCAUGUUUGACGUUAUCAGCUGUACCCCGCUUAACUGUGGAGGUCUGCUCAGAACUGCUGCUGGGUAGGAGUCAGACAGCAGAACAGCACGAGGGAGGGGAUGGGAAGAUGGAGGCAAGCAGUAAAUUGAUAAAGUAGGAAAAAGAAGGGGAAUAUGAAUCUGCCAAGGUUAAAAACAUGAAGAUGGUGGGCAGGGAAAUAAAGAAAGAAGGGGAUGGCAUGCUAGAUAUGAGAGUAAUUAAAAUGACAUCAGAGUGAGGAGCCCCUGACACUGUCUCCUCCUGUACAUGGACACAUAAUGAAGAUGGCUUCCAAGGCCUUUGGCUCCGCACCAAGAGCCGAGAGGCUGAAAAUGAAACGCAACAAGAGAAUCAGUCCUCUCCUCCCUCCUCUCCUCUUCCACUCAGGGAGAGAUUUACAGGCCAAGUUAUGACAGCACGCAAUAACGACAGCCAUAUUUUACUCCUGCAGUCUGACAACAGUAUCUGUAGCCAAUCAAAUCUACCACAGAACAAAAUUGUUAUCUCUACUGUGUGUGUGUAUAUGUGUGCGUUUGGGUGUUGAAAACUGCCUGUCAUCGCUAAAUGUGAUUGUGCUACAUUGAGUUGAUCGGCUCAAUUUAUUGCUGUCAAAGAUAAGGGAUUUUGAGGACAGGGAGACAGACUUUUAUGGGAAAUACAUUAGAAAAAUAAACACCCAUAAAAGAAACCGUUCCAAUCACUCAGAGAUGGAUUGCAUGGAAACCUGAUCAGGAAAUACUGUAUGCUCUUAAAAGUUCACCUAAGUCUUAAAAAGGGGCUGAGGGAAAUGUAGAAAGCAAGAAAUAUGAGAGUGGAAGAAAGAAAAUAAGGAAUCUAUGAGCCCGCACAGCCAAAAGUGAAUGAUGAGAAAAUAAAGAAUGAGAAGAGGAGAUGCAGAAAAAAGAAAGAAAGGAACCAGAGAGUUACUUAAAGCUGGAUGAAAGUGUGCAUGGAUCAAUAGAUAUGGAUGUGAAUAGGGAGACUUUUAAAUAAGGCUCUCGCUUGUGUCCUCAGAUCCUGUUUCACAAAGAAACUCAAACUCCACAGAUCAAUACCCAGCUCGUCUCACUGGCCCAGGUCCUGUACAGGCUGUAGCCAGUGGCUCCUCUUGUAUGGCUCUGUUUGUCUCUGUUCACGGCACUUGAAACCCACUCAAACAGUCUCUUUAUCUCUGCAGUUCCUGUCUCUAUCAACAUCUACACCACCUUUGCCCAUUAACUGUGUAUCCAUUUGCCCAACAAAGUAAGCAUCUCCCAAAUUAUUGCCAUAUAACAAUACAACGUCUUUUCAUUUCCAUUUGAAUAAAUGCCAGUUCUGCUAUUCUCAUUGCAAUUUGAUAUAACAAUAGCAACACACAUUAGAAUUCAGUCUACAUCCAAUUCAAGAAGCCCUUGACUGUUUAUAGUUGCUGUUUUGAACAUCUGGUAUUGGGUAUGGCUUUCCUGGAAGAAUUCUGAGGUCAGUUUUACAUUUCUGUAACAAUAAACUUAUACUGAAGAAAAGUAUGUUAAACUUAAGGAACUUUUAAAGGAAUAGCUGAACAUUUUGGGAAAUAUGUUUAUUCGCUUUCUUUCAGAGGUUUGAUGAAGAUGAAGAGCUCAGAGUGCCUGCCCCACUCCAGCUGUGUCUUGUUCUGUGAUUAGUUCCUUGUGUAUUUAUACCUGGCUGUUCCUUGAGUUUUUUGUCAGUUUGUGGUCAAUGUAUCCAGGUGUUUGUAGCUGUUGUUUUUUGCUCCUCAUGUGUUUCAAGUCAGCCAGUUCUGUUUUUGUCUUUGUCUGCCAGUAACCAGAGUCUGGUAAAUAAAUAAUGAUUUUCUUCA